This 260-nucleotide ribosomal RNA is filed under the name uncultured bacterium. Its description in RNAcentral is "partial 16S ribosomal RNA". It matches the Rfam family "Bacterial small subunit ribosomal RNA", at positions 28 to 288 of the family's 1533-position model. The record is from RNAcentral.
GACGAACGCUGGCGGCGUGCUUAACACAUGCAAGUCGAGCGGUAAGGCCCUUUCGGGGUACGACGAGCGGCGAACGGGUAGAGUAACACGUGGGUGACCUGCCCUCAGCUCUGGGAUAAGCCUGGGAAACCGGGUCUAAUACUGGAUAUGACUCCAUGACGCAUGUUGUGGGGUGGAAAGCUUUGUGCGGCUGAGGAUGGGCCCGCGGCCUAUCAGCUUGUUGGUGGGGUGANGGCCUACCAAGGCGACGACGGGUAGCC